Molecule: ribosomal RNA, 370 nt
Filed under: uncultured organism
Description: bacterial SSU rRNA
Rfam family: Bacterial small subunit ribosomal RNA
Source: RNAcentral
CGUAGGGGGCAAGCGUUAUCCGGAAUUAUUGGGCGUAAAGAGUGCGUAGGUGGUUUUAUAAGCGCGAGGUGAAAGGCAAUGGCUCAACUAUUGUAAGCCUUGCGAACUGUAAGACUUGAGUGCAGGAGAGGAAAGUGGAAUUCCUAGUGUAGCGGUGAAAUGCGUAGAUAUUAGGAGGAACACCAGUGGCGAAGGCGACUUUCUGGACUGUAACUGACACUGAGGCACGAAAGCGUGGGGGAGCAAACAGGAUUAGAUACCCUGGUAGUCCACGCCGUAAACGAUGGGCACUAGGUGUCGGGGCCGCAAGGUUUCGGUGCCGCAGUUAACGCAUUAAGUGCUCCGCCUGGGGAGUACGCACGCAAGUGUG